RNAcentral lists this ribosomal RNA (336 nucleotides) under Klebsiella pneumoniae. RNAcentral's name for it is "bacterial LSU rRNA". It matches the Rfam family "Bacterial large subunit ribosomal RNA", at positions 1186 to 1525 of the family's 2925-position model. Lineage: Bacteria; Pseudomonadati; Pseudomonadota; Gammaproteobacteria; Enterobacterales; Enterobacteriaceae. The record is from RNAcentral.
ACAUACCACCGAAGCUGCGGAUUCCGUAAGGAAUGGUAGGGGAGCGUUCCAAACCGCUGCGAAGCUGUACCGGAAGGAGCAGUGGAGCGCUUGGAAGUGAGAAUGCCGGUGUGAGUAGCGAAAAGAGGGGUGAGAAUCCCCUCCGUCGAAAGCCCAAGGUUUCCUGAGGAAGGCUCGUCCGCUCAGGGUUAGUCUGGACCUAAGCCGAGGCCGAAAGGCGUAGGCGAUGGAUAACAGGUUGAUAUUCCUGUACCGCCGAUCCACCGUUUGAACAAUGGGGGGACGCAGGAGGAUAGUGACGCAUGCGGAUGGAAGUGCAUGUGCAAGGUUCAAGAC